This 444-nucleotide ribosomal RNA is filed under the name uncultured bacterium. RNAcentral describes it as "partial 16S ribosomal RNA". It matches the Rfam family "Bacterial small subunit ribosomal RNA", at positions 339 to 795 of the family's 1533-position model. The record is from RNAcentral.
CUACGGGACGCUGCAGUGGGGAAUAUUGCACAAUGGGCGCAAGCCUGAUGCAGCAACGCCGCGUGAGGGAUGAAGGCCUUCGGGUUGUAAACCUCUUUUAGCAGGGAAGAAGCGAAAGUGACGGUACCUGCAGAAAAAGCACCGGCUAACUACGUGCCAGCAGCCGCGGUAAUACGUAGGGUGCAAGCGUUGUCCGGAAUUAUUGGGCGUAAAGAGCUCGUAGGCGGUUUGUCACGUCUGCUGUGAAAAUCCAAGGCUCAACCUUGGACUUGCAGUGGGUACGGGCAGGCUAGAGUGCGGUAGGGGAGAUGGGAAUUCCUGGUGUAGCGGUGGUAUGCGCAGAUAUCAGGAGGAACACCAAUGGCGAAGGCACAUCUCUGGGCCGUAACUGACGCUGAGGAGCGAAAGCGUGGGGAGCGAACAGGAUUAGAUACCCUCGUAGUC